GAGGAGGUGAGAACCACUAAGAUGCUUCAUGAUACUGCAAGUGCUUUGGUGAUACUGGAUCAGUGCAGCUGGAGACAGCACAGACCUCACCUUCAUCCUCCCACCAGGGAAGGAUACGUUCUUGGCACAAGGAGGCUGGCAGGACUUUCAGAAGUUACUCAGGUUCCACGUGCUUUGCAAUCGGGACAUUGUCAAAUGAGCAGGAAUUGGCGAUCCUAUAAAUAAUCUGCAAGAAGGGGAGCAGGUGCCAGGGGGCGCAGGAGAGCUGCCGGUAGGACAUCCAUCCUCGGCCGGGAGGUGCUGCCGGGGGUAGGAAAAGUCCUUAAGUCUACGGAAUGUACAACUAAACGCAUUUAAAGCAGCUCCCUGGACACGUCUACUGCCAUGAGAUGUCUCAGCCAAGGAUUUUGAGCCAAGAUAUGAGGGAAAUGGUUUAACCAGCUGUGUGCCCAUGCCUGUGACACUGAACUUUGAGAUGCUGAUAUUUAAAAAGAUUGCCAUCUCCCCUGCCUCCCAGCAGCAAGGGAAGACUGAAGCCACUGAGCAUGGAAUCCAGCCCACCUUCUACCUCCCACCUCCCCGAGUGCAGCCAAAACAUCUACAGACUGAUCUACAGCUGCUCACAAGCACUGGAACUUCCACUUGUCUACGUUUUCAGGACACGAGCCACGCCAGGAA
Long non-coding RNA from Chiroxiphia lanceolata (lance-tailed manakin), 678 nucleotides. RefSeq lists it as uncharacterized. The transcript has 4 exons. The record is from RefSeq and is a predicted model, not a curated record. Lineage: Eukaryota; Metazoa; Chordata; Aves; Passeriformes; Pipridae.